AUCGCUUCUCGGCCUUUUGGCUAAGAUCAAGUGUAGUAUCUGUUCUUAUCAGUUUAAAAUGUGUAGUUCAGCCCUAGCCAGUUUGGCUCAGUGGAUAGAACAUUGGCCUGUGGACUGAAGGGUCCCAGGUUUGAUUCUGGCCAGGGGCACAUGCCAGGGUUUCAGGCUAGAUCC
Molecule: small nuclear RNA, 174 nt
Filed under: Myotis lucifugus (little brown bat)
Lineage: Eukaryota; Metazoa; Chordata; Mammalia; Chiroptera; Vespertilionidae
Description: U2 spliceosomal RNA
Rfam family: U2 spliceosomal RNA
About the family: U2 is a small nuclear RNA (snRNA) component of the spliceosome (involved in pre-mRNA splicing). Complementary binding between U2 snRNA (in an area lying towards the 5' end but 3' to hairpin I) and the branchpoint sequence (BPS) of the intron results the bulging out of an unpaired adenosine, on the BPS, which initiates a nucleophilic attack at the intronic 5' splice site, thus starting the first of two transesterification reactions that mediate splicing.
Source: Rfam by way of RNAcentral